UGGUAGCAGGGAGGCUUCUCUGCCUCGCUUCUGACUGUAGAUCCAGUAGAGUCAUGGAAUCUGCCUUUUUAACAAGUCACCUAUGUGAUUGUAAAGCAUGUGACAGCAGUAGCUGGGGAAUGUGCAAGAGCUGGUGGGGGUGGCUAGGGGAUGGGCACUCCCUCCCUGACCCACUCCCUGCCCCUGUAGCCUGCAGUGUGCUCUACUUGACCUCAGUGGAGACAGAGUCACUGACGGGCCCCCAAGCUGUGGCCCGGGCCAGCUCUGCAGCUCUGAGCUGUAGCCCCCGCCCGACACCAGCUGUUGUCCACUUCAAGGUGUCAGCCCAGGGCAUUACACUGACGGACAACCAAAGGAAGCUCUUCUUUCGCCGCCAUUAUCCAGUGAACAGCAUCACCUUCUCCAGCACUGACCCUCAAGACCGGAGGUGACUCUCCCUCCAAACCCUUUGCCCCAAAUCCCCAUGGUCCCACCAGGUCCCAGCUCCCAGCCCCAGCCCCAGCCCCGGCCCCCCU
This 515-nucleotide small RNA is filed under the name Pan troglodytes (chimpanzee). Its description in RNAcentral is "retained intron". The record is from RNAcentral. Lineage: Eukaryota; Metazoa; Chordata; Mammalia; Primates; Hominidae.